AGUGCCUGUUUUGACUUUUCAUUCAGACAAUCACCAAUUAGACAGAAUCCCUGUCCGAAGCUGAGAAAGAUUCAUCUUGUUUCUUGUUUAUGUUCCUGUCUGAAAGUUUAAAAAAAAAAGUCCACAGAGAGAGGAGUCUAGGGUUUGAGAGGAGCUUAUGGGUUUGAUUUCAAUGUUUUUUAUUUUCAAAACCCAGUUUUUAAUUGUGUGAGGCCAUAGAGAAAUAUUGGGUAGUAUAAGAAGAAAUUAAAGAAAAAGAUUAUAGAAGAUGGUUGCAAGAACCCCACAAAAGCAGAGGAAGGUUGUGAUGGUGGCGCCUCCUCUUAACUCAGAUCUUCUCAGGGAAACAAUCAACAAGGUUGAUAAAUGUAUGGAAAGAGACUGCAAGAGCUGCAAUACACAAUAGCAAGAGGAACCAAAGUUAUUUCUGGUGUGAACCUUAGCUCUCCAAGCACUAGAACUUACUUGAAGACUAGUCUUAGAUGCAAGAAAGAAACUUUAAGGAUCAAGAAUGCUACUAACAAGAAAUCUCCAUAGGAAAGCUUCCAGGUUCCUCACCAGGAGACUGGAGGAAAAUGUCACUACAAGCAAGAAGUCGACUAUUAUUCCCAGGCAUCAUCUUCUUUUGGCGAUUAGGAACGAUGAAGAGUUGGGUGGUCGAGAUUCGAAUCCAGGUGACGGAACUCACAGAUGUGAACUCUUUAUCGAACAAUUUAAUUGAAGAUGCCGAGAUGUUUUUUUCACGUACAUUGGAAGUGCUCUAACUAAUUUGAUCAAGCAAUUGCCUAGAGUUACCAAAGUCCUGUGCUGAUAUAUUCCUUCUUUAAAAAUCAGGAAUUCUGCAUAUAUAGAAAAGAAAAAAAGAAUAUAGCACAUAAUUUUAGGGCUGGGCGAUAAAGAUUCUAUUGCAAUAACUAAAUGUACAAAAUAAUAUUAUAUAAUAUUGCAGAAAACGAUGAUCAGGAUAGUGAGUUGCUAGAUGAGUGAAAAAACUAGUUUUAUAAAAAGUACAAAGUCAAACUGAUAGUAGUACGUCUAGAUACAGUUGCAAAUUAAGGAAUGAGUUAGAUAAUAAAACGAAAUUAAGCUUAAAAAAAAACAAAAUGAAAUUCAAUAUUAUAUAAAUUUAGUUUUGUCGUAAUAUGAAAAUAUAAUAAAGUACUACGACAAUACGAAGAACGCUAUUUACUAGAUAGAUAGUGUUGUGAUAAAUUGUCAAGGUUUGGUUCGACCAGACAAUAUGGGACCUUCACGAUGUCUGUCUCAUGUUUCCUGCAUGCCAUGCAUUCUAUUUACUCUUUCCUUCUCUACGUGCCCACGUCUCCACUUUUAUUCAUUUUCUUAUUACUGAUUGCUCAAACUUGUGGUACGAUCAUUACUGUUUAAGAUUCUUUCUUUUAAAGGUAGGUUUACCUGAUACUAUAUGGUAAGCUAGGUUUCUCGAAAGAUGGGAUGCACUUAAAGUCUCAUUUAAACUAUUCUCAAAAUACCAACAUAUAUGGCCAGAAAUCAACACUGUAAUCUGCAGUUCGAUUCCUAUUGAGUAUUGACUACCAGAAGAUUAAAAAUUAUCGGCAUCCGGGGUCCAAAGAAUAGUAGGUUGGUUUCGGCAACUGUGGUUAAUUCAUAAAAAAAUAACUAUUCUCCUAACUAAAUAGAUAACAUCAGAAAUAUUUGCAAAAUGGCACAGUGCCUAACCGAGGCAUUCAGUUAGGCAAACGAUCAUGUAUAAUUGGAAUCGAUGCAUGCAGUAUAUUGUUUUGACGAAACAAUGCGAGCCAUCGAUUAUUCAGAAAUUUACGUAGCUCUUUUAUCAAUAGGCACUUAGGUCUUUAUAUUUUGAACAAAAUAAUAAUAAUAAGAAAUUUAUUUACACGAGUGUUCAAAAAAAUAUUAUUUACAUGAAUAAAUACAAGAACAAUUUCUACAUGUAAAAAAGUACACAUUGUUUUGUGUAAGUUAAAAAUUUACUAAAAUUAAUGUAAUAAGUAAAACGUUGGUCCUUGAAACUUGGUUUGUGGAUAGUUCAUUUGUCACUAUACUAAUAUUGAGUCUAGAUCAAUUUCUUUGAGAGGUUUCUGAGUUGUACGUAGCGGCAUUUCUUGAUAUAUGUAUAGUUCAUUUCGUACUACCCUAAAUUCAAAGUAAUAAAAAGGAUAGUUUUUAUAUUUUAUUUUUGGUUAAAUUAAAAGGAUAAAUUAAGGGAAAUUAGGCGAGAUGAUGCUACAAAAAAGCAUAAUCUAUUGAGUAGUCAAUUGCCCUAAUUUUUUACUGUUCCACUUGUCUUUUAUAUAAUAUUGCUGUAUUACCCCUGUUUGAAACCGAUGAAACCUGCUAGAGAAAAAAAUUAAAGUAAUAAUUAUUUUUUUGCAAAACUAUAUCGUGUCUCUUCUAGAUUUACACAUUUUUGAUUCACCCUAAAUUAUCUCAGGCGUUUGCGAAAAAGAUUCAGUUUCAUGAGUUGCCGGUUUACUGCUUUUGAAAAUCUUCAGAAGAGACGAAAAAUUAAUAGGCCCAACGGUAUUUGCGUUAAUCCUCACCGAUUCGCAUUCACAUCCCAAUUCGCACUGACCCUUGCCGACAAGACUUAUGCAGUGGCGAUCACCUCCAUCUAUACAAACAACACCAUCAUCACGAUCGGUUAUUUCAUCGUCAUCGUCACCACCGUAUGUUCUUCUCUUUUGUUUACUGUGAAUGAUCUAAGUUAAUCGGAGAAGAUGAACAGUUUUGUUUAUUUUGUUUUAUUCUAUUCGCGAACGGAAUAGAAAUGUAAAAGAAUAUGUAUUAUGUUUGUUCUAUUCCUAUUAUGUAAUAUGAUAUAUUCGGCAA
Long non-coding RNA from Raphanus sativus (radish), 2829 nucleotides. RefSeq lists it as uncharacterized. The transcript has 5 exons. NCBI's taxonomy places the organism in Eukaryota, Viridiplantae, Streptophyta, Magnoliopsida, Brassicales, Brassicaceae. The record is from RefSeq and is a predicted model, not a curated record.